This 158-nucleotide non-coding RNA is filed under the name Schizosaccharomyces pombe (fission yeast). The record is from RNAcentral. Lineage: Eukaryota; Fungi; Ascomycota; Schizosaccharomycetes; Schizosaccharomycetales; Schizosaccharomycetaceae.
UUGGCAUGUUGUUUAGCUUCAUCAGAGACAUUAGGGUUAUCCACGAUUGCUUUGUAACCACCAAGGACAUUGCCAGUAUUUUUCUGGUGCUCCUCGAGAUAUUCUCUCUCGCGUUGCUUGGUCUCUUCAAAGACGUUGGGAGUUAUGAAGUGCAGACU